RNAcentral lists this ribosomal RNA (435 nucleotides) under uncultured bacterium. Its description in RNAcentral is "partial 16S ribosomal RNA". It matches the Rfam family "Bacterial small subunit ribosomal RNA", at positions 29 to 507 of the family's 1533-position model. The record is from RNAcentral.
AGCGAACGCUGGCGGCAGGCUUAACACAUGCAAGUCGAGCGGGCACUUUCGGGUGUCAGCGGCGGACGGGUGAGUAACGCGUGGGAACGUGCCCUCUGGUUCGGAAUAACUCAGGGAAACUUGAGCUAAUACCGGAUACGCCCUUUUGGGGAAAGGCUUGCUGCCGGAGGAUCGGCCCGCGUCUGAUUAGCUAGUUGGUGAGGUAACGGCUCACCAAGGCGACGAUCAGUAGCUGGUCUGAGAGGAUGAUCAGCCACACUGGGACUGGGACACGGCCCAGACUCCUACGGGAGGCAGCAGUGGGGAAUAUUGGACAAUGGGCGCAAGCCUGAUCCAGCCAUGCCGCGUGAGUGAUGAAGGCCUUAGGGUUGUAAAGCUCUUUUAUCCGGGACGAUAAUGACGGUACCGGAGGAAUAAGCCCCGGCUAACUUCGUG